Molecule: ribosomal RNA, 550 nt
Filed under: Hepatozoon sp. KCMS-2016a
Lineage: Eukaryota; Apicomplexa; Hepatozoidae
Description: bacterial SSU rRNA
Rfam family: Eukaryotic small subunit ribosomal RNA
Source: RNAcentral
CCGUGGCAAUGACGGUUAACGGGGGAUUAGGGUUCGAUUCCGGAGAGGGAGCCUGCGAAACGGCUACCACAUCUAAGGAAGGCAGCAGGCGCGCAAAUUACCCAAUUCUAACAGCAUAAGAGAGGUAGUGACAAGAAAUAACAAUACAAGGUAAUUAAAUUGCUUUGUAAUUGGAAUGAUAGAAAUUUAAACACUUUUUAAAGUAUCAAUUGGAGGGCAAGUCUGGUGCCAGCAGCCGCGGUAAUUCCAGCUCCAAUAGCGUAUAUUAAAAUUGUUGCAGUUAAAAAGCUCGUAGUUGAAUUUCUGUUAAAAAUAACCGGUCUGCUUUUAUUAAAAGUGGUAUCUUGGUGUGUUUUUAGCAAUAAUGUCCUUUGAAAUGUUUUUUACUUUAUUGUAAUAAGUCAUUAUUUUGAGGAUUUUUACUUUGAGAAAAUUAGAGUGUUUCUAGCAGGCUUACGCUUUUGAAUACUGCAGCAUGGAAUAAUAAGAUAGGAUUUUAGUUCUACAUUAUUGGUUUUAAGAACUAAAUUAAUGAUUGAUAGGGAUAGUU